RNAcentral lists this ribosomal RNA (243 nucleotides) under uncultured bacterium. Its description in RNAcentral is "partial 16S ribosomal RNA". It matches the Rfam family "Bacterial small subunit ribosomal RNA", at positions 524 to 776 of the family's 1533-position model. The record is from RNAcentral.
UACGUAGGGGCAAGCGUUGUCCGGAAUCAUUGGGCGUAAAGCGCGUGUAGGCGGUCCGGUAAGUCCGCUGUGAAAGUCCAGGGCUCAACCCUGGGAUGCCGGUGGAUACUGUCGGGCUAGAGUACGGAAGAGGCGAGUGAAUUCCCGGUGUAGCGGUGAAAUGCGCAGAUAUCGGAGGAACACCAAUGCGAGGCAGCUCGCUGGACGUACUGACGCUGAGACGCGAAGCGUGGGAGCAACAGG